GUCUAUGGCCAUGCUACCCUGAACAAGCCUGAUCCCAUCGGAUCUUGGAAGCUAAGCAGGGUCAGGUCUGGUUAGUAGUUGGAUGAGAGACCACUUAGGAAGACCAAGUGCUAUAGGCA
This 119-nucleotide ribosomal RNA is filed under the name Pteropus alecto (black flying fox). The record is from RNAcentral. Lineage: Eukaryota; Metazoa; Chordata; Mammalia; Chiroptera; Pteropodidae.